This is a small RNA of 75 nucleotides. It matches the Rfam family "isrK Hfq binding RNA". The record is from Rfam.
GCGCCAGCAAAAUCUGGCGUCGGGAUUAGCACCCCGGAUAUCGAAACGGUGCAUAACCGCGCUGGCGGUUUUUUA